CUUAUCUUCUGAAUUCUGGUUUGGUUUUCAGAUGUUUCCCAUUAUAAAGAGAUAUGAGAAUGUUUGAGUGCAAAAUGUUCGCAAGGAAGCAGACAAGGGAGAGCUUGUGUCAGUGAAAGAUUGUAUUUUCAUUCCUUUCUCCUCUUGACAAGUUCAAUAUAUCUCUGUUCCCUGAAUUAUUCACAAAAACAAUAAGCAAAAUAAAGAAGAAUUGAAAGAAGGGCAACCAAAUGAUUCAGCUGCCAUGUACUACUCCCAGGGUAAUGAGCUUCCAU
This 275-nucleotide long non-coding RNA is filed under the name Ornithorhynchus anatinus (platypus). RNAcentral's name for it is "lncRNA (ENSOANG00000038001.1)". Lineage: Eukaryota; Metazoa; Chordata; Mammalia; Monotremata; Ornithorhynchidae. The record is from RNAcentral.